Heterocephalus glaber (naked mole-rat) is the source of this 479-nucleotide long non-coding RNA. Lineage: Eukaryota; Metazoa; Chordata; Mammalia; Rodentia; Bathyergidae. The record is from Ensembl.
CACUUUGUGACACACUUUUGUUUUAAAGAAUUAAUUAUUUAAUUCAGCUUUAUGUUCAUAACAAAAUUGAGAGGAUGGUACAGACACCUACUAUAUACCCCUUGAUCUUACACAUCUAUGGCCUCCAGAAUUAUUAGUGUAACCAGAGUGGCUUCUUUCACUUAAUAAAUCUGAGAAGUGAUAGGACUCCCCCAGGAGCCCAAGGUGACAGAGAGCCUGAGCUUGGAUUCACAAUGCUUUUUGUUAAUCAGACCCUGAAUAUCAGCCUCCAUCACAGCCAGCUAUCAGGAAUCCCUGGAGUGUCUUGGUACCUUUGCUCCUGGUGAUUCUCAGGUGAUGUCCUAGGAAUGUGACGAAGGGAGAAGAGGAAGAUACCCUUCCCAGCUAGGAGAGGGGAGUCCUUCCACAAAAAGAAGAUGGAACUGCAGUAGCACAGGACUUCAUAAUAACUGGUAAUACUCGCAAUUUUUCUGCAAGAG